RNAcentral lists this ribosomal RNA (256 nucleotides) under uncultured bacterium. RNAcentral's name for it is "partial 16S ribosomal RNA". It matches the Rfam family "Bacterial small subunit ribosomal RNA", at positions 524 to 776 of the family's 1533-position model. The record is from RNAcentral.
UACGUAGGGUGCAAGCGUUGUCCGGAAUCAUUGGGCGUAAAGCGCGCGUAGGUGGUCAUGUAAGUCCGCUGUGAAAGUCAAAGGCUCAACCUUUGAAAGCCGGUGGAUACUGCAUGACUAGAGUACGGAAGAGGCGAGUGGAAUUCCUGGUGUAGCGGUGAAAUGACGCAGAUAUCAGGAGGAACACCGAUGGCGAAGGCAGGUCUCUGGACAUUAACUGACGCUGAGGAGCGGAAAAGCAUGGGGAGCGAACAGG